This 344-nucleotide small nuclear RNA is filed under the name Cebus imitator (Panamanian white-faced capuchin). Its description in RNAcentral is "7SK RNA (ENSCCAG00000004200.1)". It matches the Rfam family "7SK RNA". From Rfam's summary of the family: 7SK was discovered as an abundant small nuclear RNA in the mid-70s but a possible function has only recently been suggested. Two independent studies have found that 7SK RNA binds the CDK9/cyclin T complex (known as elongation factor P-TEFb). The record is from Rfam by way of RNAcentral. Lineage: Eukaryota; Metazoa; Chordata; Mammalia; Primates; Cebidae.
GGAUCUGAGAGUGAUCUGGCUCUGACAUCUGUCACCCCACUGAUUGCCAGGGUUGAUUUGGCUGAUCUGGCUGGCCAGGAGGGUGGCUGCUUUCUCCUUCACUGCUCCAUGUGUGUCCUUCCAGAAGCUGCAAGCUCAGUCAAAGAGGGUAACCUUUUCCAAUAGAGGAGGACUGUACCUCGGUCAAGGUAUAUGAGUAUCUGUGCUCCCCUGCUAGAAAUUACAAACAAGCUUUCUAAGUCUAAGGCCAGGGAGGGCAAGGGGAACUAGGAGAAAUAUCAAAUGGGUACAAUGGACCCCACACCCAUGCCAGUAGAAGGUGACGAUAGAAGAGGUUUCUCUUU